CCUACGGGUGGCUGCAGUCGAGAAUAUUUGGCAAUGGACGAAAGUCUGACCAUGCGACGCCGCGUGCAGGAUGAAGGCCUUCGGGUCGUAAACUGCUGUUGCGAGGGACGAAGGUUUCGCUUGCGAACAGUGAGCGGAAUUUGACGGUACCUCGAUAGAAAGCCACGGCUAACUCCGUGCCAGCAGCCGCGGUAAUACGGAGGUGGCAAGCGUUACUCGGAUUUACUGGGUGUAAAGGGCACGUAGGCGGUCCGAUAAGCCCCGUUUGAAAUGCCUGGGCUCAACCUGGGCACGUGGCGGGGGACUGACGGACUUGAGGACGCGAGAGGUAGGCGGAAUUCCCGGUGUAAGGGUGAAAUCUGUAGAGAUCGGGAGGAACACCAGUGGCGAAAGCGGCCUACUGGCGCGUUUCUGACGCUGAGGUGCGAAAGCUAGGGGAG
This 440-nucleotide ribosomal RNA is filed under the name uncultured bacterium. Its description in RNAcentral is "bacterial SSU rRNA". It matches the Rfam family "Bacterial small subunit ribosomal RNA", at positions 338 to 768 of the family's 1533-position model. The record is from RNAcentral.